CGAACGGGUGAGUAAUACAUCGGAACGUGCCCAGUCUGGGGGAUAACUACUCGAAAGAGUAGCUAAUACCGCAUACGAUCUGAGGAUGAAAGCGGGGGACCUUCGGGCCUCGCGCGAUUGGAGCGGCCGAUGGCAGAUUAGGUAGUUGGUGGGAUAAAAGCUUACCAAGCCGACGAUCUGUAGCUGGUCUGAGAGGACGACCAGCCACACUGGGACUGAGACACGGCCCAGACUCCUACGGGAGGCAGCAGUU
Molecule: ribosomal RNA, 253 nt
Filed under: uncultured Delftia sp.
Lineage: Bacteria; Pseudomonadati; Pseudomonadota; Betaproteobacteria; Burkholderiales; Comamonadaceae
Description: partial 16S ribosomal RNA
Rfam family: Bacterial small subunit ribosomal RNA
Source: RNAcentral